UACUGUCUAUUAUAAACAUUAAAUAAAUGAGAAGAAGCUACUAGCGAAAGUUGUCUGUGAUAAAUAUUGACGUUUAGGACUAAACCCGGUUGAGCUUAUUGCUUCGGCUAUUAUUUAUUGCAAACAUACAAUUGAGGGAUAUAUUUUGUGUUGAGUGAUUCGAGUACUUUUGUACUGAACGUAAAAAUAGCCUGUUUUUUUGCAGGUCACCAGUUUAUUGAAAAAUGUAUCAGUUUGUUCAACGACGAAUUCGAACAAUAACGAUAUCAACAGCAAACUGAGAAACCGUAGGAAAGAUCAUGUCUGUCUAGAGAAGAACCAAUUUUAAAAUAUAAAGGAGGUUUAUUCAGUCUUGAAGCAGGUUUCAUGUGAUAUUUUAUAUUUCGUAAAUUUCGAGAGAAUUAAAUGCGAUAAGCACGCAGCCUGCAGUGUAUGUGCCUGUAGCAAUAGAAGUCUUUAUCCAACCCAAAACGUUAAGAUAGGAAUUGUUCUUUCUGUCCUUAACCAUUUAACUAAAUCCUAUUUAAGAGCAAAUUUGAUGUUGUAAUCUUUGCUAUAAUAUUGCUUCCAGCUUCUUACGCUAAUGACAACUGUCACUUGAGGUUCUUGCGGAGCUAGAAAAAAGGGGAAGACACAAAGUAAAAAAAUCUGGUGAUCGAAUUAGCAAAAGUGCUCCGAUGAAAUUGGAAUAGCCGUCAAGCAAACGUCAAUGAUCUAAUCCACUUUAAUUGUCAGCACGCUAUAAUCUCACGAAAAAGCUAUCAUUACUGAGGCUACAGUUAUCCUUCAAAUAAUAGACAACCAGCAUUAUCUACGGAACGGUUCAAUAUAGGAUCAGAGCUAAACACGGAAUUUGCUAGAUGCCUGCGCCGGUAUUUGUUUGUUGCAAUAGCUUUCAUCGUCAGUAUAGUAGCGGUAUCAUCGUUUGUUUCAACUAUUGUAAAGGUAAUAGCUAUGAUUCGGCGCAGACAAGUCUGUCGAUCAGCUGUCCAACAAGUGCAAGCCGAUGAACCCAAUUCGGUCGAAGAAUGGGAUUGCUGAUUAUUGGGCUGGGUGAUGAACAACCACCCCACGAUGAUGUAGCGAAUUCAAUCACAGUAGAAAUACUAAUGAUAACAUAUCCAAGAAAAGGUGAUGUCUGUGUCAUGUCGAUUUGUUAAUUACCAAUCAAUCGACUAACCAAUCAAUUAUUUAGUAAUGGCGCUAUUCUUGUGUGUUGGAAAAAUAUCACUAUAUGCAUAAAAAUACGUUCUGAAAAUUUUGCGCUGCAUCUGUAAUACAAGGCAAGCAAUCCUAUUCACCAUGUACUUUUAAAGUGUCAGUGUGGUUUGUGUAUUGAUGUAUUUAAUCAUACAUAUACAUCUUGGAUACCUUUGCAUUCCUUGUAUUUGAAAGUAAUGAAAAAAAGGCACUCUCUGUAAAAGCACAGCAAGCAGAUCGAGACUUAUGUUUGUUUUCGUAAUAACUAUAUAAACUAUUAACGAUACGGCUUAAUGACAUGUAAAGACAUGUUCUUUAAGUAAUCAUUGCAAGAGCAGUUGACCAGUCAAUGUUCCCAUUAUGUGCAUCAUCUGCGUAUAUUUAUGUGUGAGCCCAGUAUUUACGUUCAGGCGGGUUUUUGCUCUUUAUUCAACUUGUACGUCCAGUAACACACACACACACACACACACAUACACACACACCCACGUACACAUACACGCACACACACACACUGUCCAAUAAGCGUGUAUUUUGCUUUUAUCAUCAACAACAAGUCUCAACGGGCUGUGACUUUAUAGCGGCUAAAUCAACGAUCACCGUUAGCAUCAUAUAUGUAUCUUGUGCUAGGAACGCUGUGGAUUUCAAAAGGAAUAUUUUUUCGCUGUUAUUGGCGUUACAGGGGUCACAGAGGGGUCGCUUAACCGCUAUCAGUUGUGACAACGGCUACCAACCACUGCUAACAUGGCAUGUCAACAGAAUCUUGAGGGAUGCAAAUUGGCCCCACAGCUUCGUUUAAAAAGUGGCAAACAAGCCCCUUGAAUAUGAACGGGUUGACGACGCCCAGGGACAAAAGAAUUUGUGGCUUGAACACAACCAGCAGGCUCAAUUCUUCUUGUGUUAGUGCUAACGAUUCCUGCUAGCAGUGUUUGAGCUUUAAAAGCAACGAGUCUGACACUGUACUCGGGCAACCAUAUGAGCUUUUGUCUUUCGGCCAUUCGGGUUUGUCUGUGCUGAGACUUCCCAAAAGGAUAAGGACGAUCGACUUAUUUGUAAUGCAACGAAAAAAUAAUCGAAAUUAGGCAAACUUGCAAGCAAAUUUCGGAAGGAGUCCUUAUUUGCCGAAGGAAACAAGUUAACCUGUAACAGGUACACAUAAUGAAACGCUACGCAGUUUAUGGAUGCGAUGCAAUUUGUGAAACUCAUUCUGCUAGCGCAAGAUUUUUAGCUUGCUGUUGCUAGCUUAGACAUUUAGCCUAUGUACAGUAGUGACAGGUUAACCCGGAGUCGCCAGAUUACCAAAAGGAUCUGCCACUCCAAAUAACAUCUACGCAUGUCUAAGUGGGUUAACGUAAGGCGUUGACAUUUAAAUCCUCGCCCUACGGUAAGCAUUAUGUAAUAUUCGUGAUCGAUGAUAAUGGUUCUGUAUGUGAUUCGUUUUAUCGUCGGUUAUAUCAGUUAUAGUUCGUUGAUACCUUAUGAGCUAUGGACAUUUCUGGAUAACGAAUUUUGAUUUAAACACUAUAUUACAGCAUAUCCUAGCCGCUCCCUCACAAUUAUUGGAUAUUAAAAUUAACGAAAAAGUUAAACGAUUCUUUGUUUUUUUGUCGGAAAUAAAUCGCUGAGCUGUACCCUGGCAUUAUCGAUAUGCUGAAGCGUCCGUGACGCAUGAACAUGCUUACAUAAUAGACCUCAAUGGGUGACAAGACAACCACCGGAACGCGCGUCGAAUACCCUCGAUCUUAUUGCUAUUACAUUUAUUAUUGUAUCAUCAGGAAAAAUCGCGGCACGUGACUAACGAGUAAAAAUGUCCAACAUAGACUUAUCGGUCAAAAAAAGCUUCCGUCAAAAAGUUUCACAAUAACCAAAAGCCUAAAAUCAAUCUAGCACGUGGCCGCCCCCCUUUAAUAAAUACGUGUAAGCUGAUUCAUGCCCUUUGUGUACGUCUUCUACUAUUGCAAUGACAUGACUGUUGUUUUUAUUGUUAUUGUUAGGAAGCGUUUUGGCUAUUGUCAAUGCACGCUGCUGUUGUCUCUGUCGCGGUUAGAAUAGAGUGAAGCACGGUCAUCAACGGGUGCUUUGCCAAAUAACAACAACUAUCAGUCACCAGCAAGAGCUAGUUCCCGCUAAUCGUCGGCAUCAUUGAUCAUGGCAAGCCGCAGCGCCCAGGAAGGUACUGUUGCAAUGUGUGAACCAAACAAGUGAGCAGGAAGUGUGCUGCUGCUGAUACCGAUGCGGCUGGUAUACUGUUUACAGCGAUGGUCGGUACAGCGCGUUUCGUAGACGUUCAGUGACAUUGUGGUUCGACCCUUAUACCGACACUAUCAACGACACAAGCUAGCAAGUUGGCCUGGCAGGACAGGCAAGCGAAUGAUGGUCGCCUUCGACCUUCGUUGGUGGAACUCGCUUGAUAAUGAAUUAAGCAUAGAAAUCGAUGCUAUUAUUACUAAAUAAAUAAAAGCCUUGGAGUUUUACGUCCGGUACUGCCUAAUUUUAACAUUGCUUUAGACGAUUGGCCUCUUCCGCGCGGCGAACUGCGUCUACGCCCCGUUUCGAACGUGUUUGUUUACUAAAUUUAGGAUUACGUGAUUACGAAUUGAAAACGUUUUUACUUCUGCCCGAGUUGUAUAACGGCCAAAAAGCGACUCGCUCAACGAAGCUAGACAAAUCCAUUUUUUUUUUUACUAUAAUGGGCACAUUGGUGAUAUUGCCCUCAUUGCUGCUGCUGCACUCUCCAUCGCGGUUUGCAAUAGGCAGUAUGGAUUCGCUGCUAUUGCUUCUAGCGUUUAUGCUGGCCGGGCUAUUGCGAGAACCGCUAGAGCACGAACUGUCCUAGACAAAGCGGACGAAUAGCUCUUGACACUGUGUUGUCAACCACAAGAGUGCCAUGGAUGAAGCAGUGAUCAGCGAUCAGCGACGGCAGCGUGCUCCAUUUGGAUCAGCAGCUGUG
Molecule: long non-coding RNA, 4147 nt
Organism: Varroa destructor (honeybee mite)
Lineage: Eukaryota; Metazoa; Arthropoda; Arachnida; Mesostigmata; Varroidae
Source: RefSeq, a predicted model, not a curated record